RNAcentral lists this ribosomal RNA (2825 nucleotides) under Klebsiella pneumoniae. Its description in RNAcentral is "bacterial LSU rRNA". It matches the Rfam family "Bacterial large subunit ribosomal RNA". Lineage: Bacteria; Pseudomonadati; Pseudomonadota; Gammaproteobacteria; Enterobacterales; Enterobacteriaceae. The record is from RNAcentral.
GGGUUGUGAGGUUAAGCGACUAAGCGUACACGGUGGAUGCCCUGGCAGUCAGAGGCGAUGAAGGACGUGCUAAUCUGCGAAAAGCGUCGGUAAGGUGAUAUGAACCGUUAUAACCGGCGAUGUCCGAAUGGGGAAACCCAGUGUGAUUCGUCACACUAUCGUUAACUGAAUACAUAGGUUAACGAGGCGAACCGGGGGAACUGAAACAUCUAAGUACCCCGAGGAAAAGAAAUCAACCGAGAUUCCCCCAGUAGCGGCGAGCGAACGGGGAGCAGCCCAGAGUCUGAAUCAGCUUGUGUGUUAGUGGAACGGUCUGGAAAGUCCGACGGUACAGGGUGAUAGUCCCGUACACCAAAAUGCACAGGUUGUGAACUCGAAGAGUAGGGCGGGACACGUGGUAUCCUGUCUGAAUAUGGGGGGACCAUCCUCCAAGGCUAAAUACUCCUGACUGACCGAUAGUGAACCAGUACCGUGAGGGAAAGGCGAAAAGAACCCCGGCGAGGGGAGUGAAAAAGAACCUGAAACCGUGUACGUACAAGCAGUGGGAGCACCUUCGGGUGUGACUGCGUACCUUUUGUAUAAUGGGUCAGCGACUUAUAUUCUGUAGCAAGGUUAACCGUAUAGGGGAGCCGCAGGGAAACCGAGUCUUAACUGGGCGUUAAGUUGCAGGGUAUAGACCCGAAACCCGGUGAUCUAGCCAUGGGCAGGUUGAAGGUUGGGUAACACUAACUGGAGGACCGAACCGACUAAUGUUGAAAAAUUAGCGGAUGACUUGUGGCUGGGGGUGAAAGGCCAAUCAAACCGGGAGAUAGCUGGUUCUCCCCGAAAGCUAUUUAGGUAGCGCCUCGUGAACUCAUCUUCGGGGGUAGAGCACUGUUUCGGCUAGGGGGUCAUCCCGACUUACCAACCCGAUGCAAACUACGAAUACCGAAGAAUGUUAUCACGGGAGACACACGGCGGGUGCUAACGUCCGUCGUGAAGAGGGAAACAACCCAGACCGCCAGCUAAGGUCCCAAAGUCAUGGUUAAGUGGGAAACGAUGUGGGAAGGCACAGACAGCCAGGAUGUUGGCUUAGAAGCAGCCAUCAUUUAAAGAAAGCGUAAUAGCUCACUGGUCGAGUCGGCCUGCGCGGAAGAUGUAACGGGGCUAAACCAUGCACCGAAGCUGCGGCAGCGACACUAUGUGUUGUUGGGUAGGGGAGCGUUCUGUAAGCCUGCGAAGGUGUGCUGUGAGGCAUGCUGGAGGUAUCAGAAGUGCGAAUGCUGACAUAAGUAACGAUAAAGCGGGUGAAAAGCCCGCUCGCCGGAAGACCAAGGGUUCCUGUCCAACGUUAAUCGGGGCAGGGUGAGUCGACCCCUAAGGCGAGGCCGAAAGGCGUAGUCGAUGGGAAACAGGUUAAUAUUCCUGUACUUGGUGUUACUGCGAAGGGGGGACGGAGAAGGCUAUGUUAGCCGGGCGACGGUUGUCCCGGUUUAAGCAUGUAGGCUGGUUAUCCAGGCAAAUCCGGAUAAUCAAGGCUGAGGUGUGAUGACGAGGCACUACGGUGCUGAAGUAACAAAUGCCCUGCUUCCAGGAAAAGCCUCUAAGCAUCAGGUAACAUCAAAUCGUACCCCAAACCGACACAGGUGGUCAGGUAGAGAAUACCAAGGCGCUUGAGAGAACUCGGGUGAAGGAACUAGGCAAAAUGGUGCCGUAACUUCGGGAGAAGGCACGCUGGUGUGUAGGUGAAGUCCCUGCGGAUGGAGCUGAGACCAGUCGAAGAUACCAGCUGGCUGCAACUGUUUAUUAAAAACACAGCACUGUGCAAACACGAAAGUGGACGUAUACGGUGUGACGCCUGCCCGGUGCCGGAAGGUUAAUUGAUGGGGUUAUCCGUAAGGAGAAGCUCUUGAUCGAAGCCCCGGUAAACGGCGGCCGUAACUAUAACGGUCCUAAGGUAGCGAAAUUCCUUGUCGGGUAAGUUCCGACCUGCACGAAUGGCGUAAUGAUGGCCAGGCUGUCUCCACCCGAGACUCAGUGAAAUUGAACUCGCUGUGAAGAUGCAGUGUACCCGCGGCAAGACGGAAAGACCCCGUGAACCUUUACUAUAGCUUGACACUGAACAUUGAGCCUUGAUGUGUAGGAUAGGUGGGAGGCUUUGAAGCGUGGACGCCAGUCUGCGUGGAGCCAACCUUGAAAUACCACCCUUUAAUGUUUGAUGUUCUAACGUUGGCCCCUUACCGGGGUUGCGGACAGUGUCUGGUGGGUAGUUUGACUGGGGCGGUCUCCUCCCAAAGCGUAACGGAGGAGCACGAAGGUUAGCUAAUCCUGGUCGGACAUCAGGAGGUUAGUGCAAUGGCAUAAGCUAGCUUGACUGCGAGCGUGACGGCGCGAGCAGGUGCGAAAGCAGGUCAUAGUGAUCCGGUGGUUCUGAAUGGAAGGGCCAUCGCUCAACGGAUAAAAGGUACUCCGGGGAUAACAGGCUGAUACCGCCCAAGAGUUCAUAUCGACGGCGGUGUUUGGCACCUCGAUGUCGGCUCAUCACAUCCUGGGGCUGAAGUAGGUCCCAAGGGUAUGGCUGUUCGCCAUUUAAAGUGGUACGCGAGCUGGGUUUAGAACGUCGUGAGACAGUUCGGUCCCUAUCUGCCGUGGGCGCUGGAGAAUUGAGGGGGGCUGCUCCUAGUACGAGAGGACCGGAGUGGACGCAUCACUGGUGUUCGGGUUGUCAUGCCAAUGGCACUGCCCGGUAGCUAAAUGCGGAAGAGAUAAGUGCUGAAAGCAUCUAAGCACGAAACUUGCCCCGAGAUGAGUUCUCCCUGAGACUUUAAGUCUCCUGAAGGAACGUU